This 253-nucleotide ribosomal RNA is filed under the name uncultured bacterium. RNAcentral's name for it is "partial 16S ribosomal RNA". It matches the Rfam family "Bacterial small subunit ribosomal RNA", at positions 524 to 776 of the family's 1533-position model. The record is from RNAcentral.
UACGUAGGGUGCAAGCGUUGUCCGGAAUUAUUGGGCGUAAAGAGCUCGUAGGCGGUCUGUCGCGUCGGCUGUGAAAACUCGGGGCUCAACCCCGAGCCUGCAGUCGAUACGGGCAGACUAGAGUGCUGUAGGGGAGGCUGGAAUUCCUGGUGUAGCGGUGAAAUGCGCAGAUAUCAGGAGGAACACCGGUGGCGAAGGCGGGUCUCUGGGCAGUAACUGACGCUGAGGAGCGAAAGCGUGGGGAGCGAACAGG